This is a long non-coding RNA of Pipistrellus kuhlii (Kuhl's pipistrelle), 148 nucleotides long. RefSeq lists it as uncharacterized. The record is from RefSeq and is a predicted model, not a curated record. The transcript is spliced from 4 exons. Lineage: Eukaryota; Metazoa; Chordata; Mammalia; Chiroptera; Vespertilionidae.
GUAAUACUCUGUGGUGAAUGCCGGGGGCUGGCUCUGAAUCACAGAUGGCUAUGAUGAAACACGCAGGAGGAGGAGGUGCUGCCAGUGCUGUGGGAAGGCCUUCAGUACACAACAGAGAGAAGCGAAUUCACUGAGAACAGAGAGCAGU